AAAAAGAAAAUUGCAGUGAAAACACACUUUUAUGUAUAUACAUAUAUACAUAUACGUAUGCAUGUGAGCACACGCAUAUGCUCAUACAUAAACGCACCCAAUAAAAAAAUGAGUUAUAAAAAAAACAACAUUAACAUUAAUAACUAUACUACUAACAAUACUAAUACUACGCUGUUGAAUAAUGGCGAAAGAAUUCAUGGUGCGCAAAUUUCAAGUUACCAUGAAGACUUAAACGCAUCCAAAAAUAGUACUGCUGAAGAAAUAGCAGAAAAGUAUUUAAGAAGUAAAUUAGAUUAUAAUUAUAAACAUAUGAACAAGAUAGAGUAUAACAGACAUAACGAAAAUCAAAUAGGUGACCAAGUGAGUAAUAAACCUUAUUAUAGUGGUACAAACAAAGAUGAGUCAGAUUAUAGAAGUGGUAUUAUAAAAGGCCAUCGUACAAGUUACGACAGUAACAAUGUAGGGGUACCAACUAUUCUUGGUGCGAUAAACAAUAAUACCAAUUAUGAUGGAUCAAAAAACAGUUAUUUUAAUAACAAAAAAGAUGAAAAAAAAGUAUUUACAAACAUAAAAAUAGACAAUAAUAAUGAUAGCAUAAUUCAUAAUAAUAGCAGAACGAAUACAUCUACUUCUUUUACCAAUAUGACUAACUUAACUGAUACUACAGAUUAUCAAAAUUCAAUGAAAACUAAUAAAGAUUAUUUUUAUAUGAAAAAUGAAUUACCUAUGUAUGAUCAGAGCUACAUAAAUAAUUUACAAAAACAAAAUAAAGAGAUAAAAAAAGGUGCGAACAAUUUUAAUGAGUUGGUAAAUAAAUACAAUAUAACAAAUUCGUCUACACGUUAUAACACUAGCACAAGUCAUAACGCUAACACACGGCAUAACACAAACGUAAGCCACGAUAUUAACCAUGCAAUACAAUACAAACAAGUAACAACAUAUGAUGAUAUAUUUGAUAAAAGAACUUUUCGAAAUUUCAUAACAAAUAAAAUAGAAGGUGGUACACAUCCUAUAGAAAAUACAAGUUGUGCUGGUACUACUGCUGGUAUAACGAACAGCAACCCAACGGAAGGGAAUGACUAUAGUGAUGAUAACCACAGUAACAUGAGCGAUAACAAUAAAAAUUUUUACAAUAACCGAAUGAAUAAGCAUUAUAUAGAUUAUUAUAAUGACGUAAAUAGUAAAAAAAAGAACCUGAUAAAACGAAAUAAGGAUUAUGUCAAUUACUUGAGUAAUAUAAAUACUACUUUAAAAAGAGAAAGCAUAACAAAAAAGGAUUUAAAAAAAAGAGCUAGUGUAGUAGACAAAUUGGAAAAAAACACCAUAAAAAAAAAUAGUAUUAAUGAAAAAUAUAGAAAUGCUGUUUUUAAUGCUAAUUAUGAAUACGAUCAGAAUGAUGAUUAUUUUAAAAAUGAGUUCCACAACAUAAGAAGGGAGAGUAACGGUAGCACAUAUCACAAUAAACGUAGGGGCAUAAGUAGAGACAUAAGUAGAGACAUAAGUAGAGACAUAAGUAGAGACAUAAGUAGAGACAUAAGUAGAGACAUAAGUAGAGACAUAAGUAGAGACAUAAGUAGAGACAUAAAUAGAGACAUAAGUAGAGACAUCAAAAAAACCGAUGUAAUUAACGUUGACAAACAACACCAAUUAGUGAUAAGCGAACAUAAUGACAGUUUACAUUUUUUUAAUAAUAAAUCAAAAACUGGUGAUAGUAUUAAUAAUAGCGUUUUCGACAUAAGUUUAUUAAAAUCUAGUUAUAAUGGUUAUAGUAAAAUAAUUGACUCCCCACUUUAUAGUAAUGAUAAUAGUGUGCAAGAUGCAUUUGGUAAAGUCAGUGUAAGUGACGGCGAUUCUUCUGAUAUACAUACAUAUAUGUAUGACCAUACAAGGAAUAAUGAUCGUGGGAGACAAUAUAUACAUAAUGUUAGUGAUAAAGUAUGUACGACUAGUUUAGAUGGAGGUAGGGAUAGUAGUAAUAGUAGUAGUAGUAGUAUUAGUAUACAUGGAGUAGUUAGUAAAGAAGGGAGAGAAAGCUAUAUUAUUAGUCCAAGCAUUCGUAAUAAUCACAGAAACAUGUAUGAAACUGUAGAGGAAGUAAAAACGGUACAAGAUAAUAAUAAAAAUUAUGUUAAUAACACAAUAGUUAAUAAUGCACUUCCUCUGUAUUUUUCAGAAAGCAAACUAAAUUAUAUAUUUAAUAAUAAAAUGGAUAACAUUAUAAAUAAUAUUGGCAAUGGUAUCAAUAAAAGUCGUAGUGGUAGCAAUAGUAGUAGUAAUAGUAGUAAUAGUAGUAAUAGUAGCAGUAUUAGUAACACUAAAGUAAUGGUAGACGUAAGUAAAAUAGCAAAAAGUAAUGUUUCAAAUAAUAAUAAUAUAUAUAUGUUUAAAAAUAACACAAACAGAAUACAUAAUGAUAGUAUGAAUG
RNAcentral lists this long non-coding RNA (2425 nucleotides) under Piliocolobus tephrosceles (Ugandan red Colobus). RNAcentral describes it as "lncRNA (ENSPTEG00000011212.1)". The record is from RNAcentral. Lineage: Eukaryota; Metazoa; Chordata; Mammalia; Primates; Cercopithecidae.